This 253-nucleotide ribosomal RNA is filed under the name uncultured bacterium. RNAcentral's name for it is "partial 16S ribosomal RNA". It matches the Rfam family "Bacterial small subunit ribosomal RNA", at positions 524 to 776 of the family's 1533-position model. The record is from RNAcentral.
UACAGAGGUCUCAAGCGUUGUUCGGAUUUAUUGGGCGUAAAGGGCGCGUAGGCGGCGCGGUAAGUCGGGUGUGAAAUCUCGGAGCUUAACUCCGAAACUGCAUUCGAUACUGCCGUGCUUGAGGACUGGAGAGGAGACUGGAAUUUACGGUGUAGCAGUGAAAUGCGUAGAGAUCGUAAGGAAGACCAGAGGCGAAGGCGGGUCUCUGGACAGUUCCUGACACUGAGGCACGAAGGCCAGGGGAGCAAACGGG